GAUGAACGCUGGCGGCGUGCCUAAUACAUGCAAGUCGAGCGAACAGACGAGGAGCUUGCUCCUCUGACGUUAGCGGCGGACGGGUGAGUAACACGUGGAUAACCUACCUAUAAGACUGGGAUAACUUCGGGAAACCGGAGCUAAUACCGGAUAAUAUAUUGAACCGCAUGGUUCAAUAGUGAAAGACGGUUUUGCUGUCACUUAUAGAUGGAUCCGCGCCGCAUUAGCUAGUUGGUAAGGUAACGGCUUACCAAGGCAACGAUGCGUAGCCGACCUGAGAGAGUGAUCGGCCACACUGGAACUGAGACACGGUCCAGACUCCUAAGGGAGGCAGCAGUAGGGAAUCUUCCGCAAUGGGCGAAAGCCUGACGGAGCAACGCCGCGUGAGUGAUGAAGGUCUUCGGAUCGUAAAACUCUGUUAUUAGGGAAGAACAAAUGUGUAAGUAACUAUGCACGUCUUGACGGUACCUAAUCAGAAAGCCACGGCUAACUACGUG
RNAcentral lists this ribosomal RNA (497 nucleotides) under uncultured bacterium. RNAcentral describes it as "partial 16S ribosomal RNA". It matches the Rfam family "Bacterial small subunit ribosomal RNA", at positions 28 to 507 of the family's 1533-position model. The record is from RNAcentral.